CUAGAGACAGUUCUCUGCUAGGGUAGCUGAUUAAAACAAUGGUACAGUACCUUGACUAAUGUAGAGCUAAUUAAAACUGCAUAGGACAAAGCACUUCUAAAUAUACUAUAGGGAUCAAUCUUGCUAUGGACUUUUUGUCAGAAGCAUGGCAAGGAACUUCAGUCUGGCUUUCAAAAGUGCUGAACACCCAAAACUCCUACCAAGGUCUCCUGGAAUUACAGCUCAAAAAUCCAAGUCUUGGGAUGAAGUGCAGAAACUGAAGCCUGCUAGCCAGUUGACUGUUCAUACAAGAAACUCUUCGAAUGUUCACAGCUUUGGUCAGAGGACAGCUAGAUAAGAGAGACACAGUGGGAGCUGAAGUGGCACACAAGCUGUGUGACCCAGAGGGGCCAAGCUGGGCUUUUCCCAGGGAAAGGUUUCUGACUGUGGCUCUCCAGCUCCAGCAUGUCUGGGAGGAUGUUAACUUGGCUCUUGCCAUGUUCAAGGGGUCAAAGAGACGCAGGUACCUCGGCAUAAGCCGCAUCCUUACAAGGUAAUAACUGUGCCAGGAGAAUAUGUUCUGAUGCCUUUUAUUAAGGGGAUGGUAAACAGAAGGUCAGGUAAGAUACACCAGCUUUAUUCCUAGUUACUUUAUACAUCAUGAGGUAUGGUAAAGGGAGAAGACUCUCCCUUUCUUUUCCAGCUGAGAUGGAAAAGCCAAAAUCUUUUCCUAAUGUGUCAUCAUUCACUUCUUUCACACAGUGCACACCGUGUGUGCACCCCACCACAAGGCAUGGUGCUGUAUUGCAGCCAGUCAGUGAACCAUCCAGAGGAAGCCUUCCAGUACACCAGCCAUUUGGAUGACAGGACUUUUGUUUGGUGUAAGAUUUACUGGUUUCCUCUUUCUGUUGACAUGUGUCAAGUGGACAUGUCAGGUGUGACUCUUUCUGAAUCUCUGAGACCUUCUGCUUUUAUAGUACUUUUCAGAAGAUCAGUGAUCUAUUUGACUGCUGAGCUGGGUCACCUGCCUGGAUUUUGGAUCCUCCCUAGUUCUUGCCUCUAUUCAUGUUUUAAGUCAGUAGCAGAGUAUUUUUCUAAGCUCAUGAAUACCAGUCCUUCUCCAAGCAGGGAAACUCUCUCUCUGGUUGAACACUUAUUCAAUUUGGUAAAACAUACCAAUUUUUCAGCUUCAGCUCCAGAAUUCCCCUUACCACUGCUGAUAAGCAUGCUUUAUUACAGUUCUGCUGCGGGAUUCUCUGCAUGGGGCUGUAUCUCCAGUUUCAUUGUCCUUGUCAUGUGAAGUGUGCUCAUACACCCUCGCCCUUUCCCUGCCACCCUCUUGGCCUCGGCACAGUUUUGACAUUGCAGAUGGUUUGCAGGCAGAUCCUGCCCCUGGCUGGCCAGAAGAACUCCCACAAGAACCUGGGAUUGCUGUCAUUUCUCUCUUUCUUCUCUGUGUUUUUAUGUUUAUAAUUCCCCAUGACCAAUCAUCCCUAUGCUAUUCUGUGCGAGCCCACUGAAAGGAGCACUUCAUCGUGAUGAAAAGGAGAUCAUCGUCUUUAAUGCCAAAAGAAUAACUAACCUUAAGGCUUCUUUUGUUUGGGAUUUUCAUUUAUAUGUUAUCUGGGGCAAAGUUCACAGCUGAGAUUUUUGGUAAUCCCCAUUCAGGUGCUGCCAAACAAGGGUGGCACUGACAAAGAUAUUUGAGAUAAGCAAUUUUUUUUUUACCUUAAACAUUUCCCAGUCAUCUAAAAGUUCUGCUUUGCUUUGAUUGUUGCAUGGUUUUAGUUUUGGCAGGGCUCAAACUGAUCAGAUCCAGAACUAUGGGUUAUUGUACCUAAGUCUUCCAAGAAGCUCUCAAAGCACCUGACAUAUGCCCACAGGAUUGAGUUGCUUUCUUUUAAAGUGCUGUUGAGGGAGUGGCACUCUCCCACCUCCAGGCUGUAUCCCAGGUGGGGCACAGCAACCCCCCAACUUUGCUAGUUUUCCGAGCAAAGUUGCUCCACUGUGGGAAAAACAAUGCAGGAUUUAUUGGGUUAGACUUUGCUCCAAGGCUAUGUAGUUUUUCAAUGACAUUUUGAUGUCAAAUAAAAAAAAGAUAGCCAGAAAAGCUGCCAAAUACAAAUCUCAGCUUCAGACAGCUGUAAACUUUGGGUACAUUAGAGAUAGGAGCUGAGCAGUAUUGUCAGAGCCUGUGAUGUAUUUAUUAACCAAAAGUGAGAAAAUUUAUCCCGCUUCGGAGAACUGAAGUGAACUUUGGGUGUCACGUAAGCCUGGUGUUGCUCUGCCAUUUGGGAAGUUAAUUUCCCCCUAGAAGGAAGUUACGGCCUUUAAUCAAAGGCUUGUGAAAAGUGACUCAUUUUGCUAGGUUGGCAAAGGUUUCUAAUUUGUUUUGAUAUUUUUGGUUCUAUCCAGAGAAUGUCUCUUAUUGGAAAAGACAGAUUAAAGAAAUAGAUAAAAAAAGAGGGAGAAAUGCUUGAUGUGCACUUGAGGUGCCCAGAUUUGUUGAAAUAUGAGCUUGGAAAGUCUGAGUGAUCUUCACAUUCAGAUCACAAUUUCACUGUAAAAGAAAGGUCACUUUUGCUUGUAUUCUGGGGCAGCUUUUUCUCUUUUGUCCCCUUGGUAAGAUCUCUCCUUUUGUAUUAUUAUGGAUGUACCUUGGUUUCGAACUUUUCCUUUUUACUGUUUUUUUUCUCUUUUUUCUUCUUUUUCUUCUUUAUGGACAAAGGACUGAUAUUUCAUCUUUUAAAAGAUUUACAAGAAAAAGAUAUAAUACAUGCACCACUGUGGAAAAGCAUUUCUCUGUUCAUACCUUUGCAUUUUACAGGGAAAUAUGUCAUUCCUUUCAGAUCCAUGAAUUAAGAUGCACUAUUUUUUGCUGAAGGCUAUUUUAAAUUAGGCUAAUAAAUUGCUGCUCUCUGCCUUGCGUGAUAAUGCAUUACAUUAUCUACUGAUGUACAUGUAUUGUUUGACUCUAAUGGUGUGGAAA
Corvus hawaiiensis (hawaiian crow) is the source of this 2968-nucleotide long non-coding RNA. RefSeq lists it as uncharacterized. NCBI's taxonomy places the organism in Eukaryota, Metazoa, Chordata, Aves, Passeriformes, Corvidae. The transcript has 6 exons. The record is from RefSeq and is a predicted model, not a curated record.